RNAcentral lists this ribosomal RNA (465 nucleotides) under Vreelandella stevensii. Its description in RNAcentral is "partial 16S ribosomal RNA". It matches the Rfam family "Bacterial small subunit ribosomal RNA", at positions 338 to 795 of the family's 1533-position model. The record is from RNAcentral. Lineage: Bacteria; Pseudomonadati; Pseudomonadota; Gammaproteobacteria; Oceanospirillales; Halomonadaceae.
CCUACGGGCGGCUGCAGUGGGGAAUAUUGGACAAUGGGGGGAACCCUGAUCCAGCCAUGCCGCGUGUGUGAAGAAGGCCCUCGGGUUGUAAAGCACUUUCAGUGAGGAAGAACGCCUGGUGGUUAAUACCCAUCAGGAAAGACAUCACUCACAGAAGAAGCACCGGCUAACUCCGUGCCAGCAGCCGCGGUAAUACGGAGGGUGCGAGCGUUAAUCGGAAUUACUGGGCGUAAAGCGCGCGUAGGUGGCUUGAUAAGCCGGUUGUGAAAGCCCCGGGCUCAACCUGGGAACGGCAUCCGGAACUGUCAAGCUAGAGUGCAGGAGAGGAAGGUAGAAUUCCCGGUGUAGCGGUGAAAUGCGUAGAGAUCGGGAGGAAUACCAGUGGCGAAGGCGGCCUUCUGGACUGACACUGACACUGAGGUGCGAAAGCGUGGGGAGCAAACAGGAUUAGAUACCCCUGUAGUC